CGGACGGGUGAGUAAUGUCUGGGAAACUGCCUGAUGGAGGGGGGUAACUACUGGAAACGGUAGCUAAUACCGCAUAACGUCGCAAGACCAAAGAGGGGGACCUUCGGGCCUCUUGCCAUCGGAUGUGCCAGAUGGGAUUAGCUAGUAGGUGGGGUAACGGCUCACCUAGGCGACGAUCCCUAGCUGGUCUGAGAGGAUGACCAGCCACACUGGAACUGAGACACGGUCCAG
Molecule: ribosomal RNA, 231 nt
Filed under: uncultured bacterium
Lineage: Bacteria
Description: partial 16S ribosomal RNA
Rfam family: Bacterial small subunit ribosomal RNA
Source: RNAcentral